RNAcentral lists this non-coding RNA (28 nucleotides) under Rattus norvegicus (Norway rat). Lineage: Eukaryota; Metazoa; Chordata; Mammalia; Rodentia; Muridae. The record is from RNAcentral.
UCCUAAGGAUGGAACAUGGGACCUGACA